UAGGGAAUCUUCCGCAAUGGGCGAAAGCCUGACGGAGCAACGCCGCGUGAGUGAUGAAGGUCUUCGGAUCGUAAAACUCUGUUAUUAGGGAAGAACAAAUGUGUAAGUAACUAUGCACGUCUUGACGGUACCUAAUCAGAAAGCCACGGCUAACUACGUGCCAGCAGCCGCGGUAAUACGUAGGUGGCAAGCGUUAUCCGGAAUUAUUGGGCGUAAAGCGCGCGUAGGCGGUUUUUUAAGUCUGAUGUGAAAGCCCACGGCCCAACCGUGGAGGGUCAUUGGAAACUGGAAAACUUGAGUGCAAAAGAGGAAAGUGGAAUUCCAUGUGUAGCGGUGAAAUGCGCAGAGAUAUGGAGGAACACCAGUGGCGAAGGCGACUUUCUGGUCUGUAACUGACGCUGAUGUGCGAAAGCGUGGGGAUCAAACAGG
RNAcentral lists this ribosomal RNA (429 nucleotides) under Actinomycetes bacterium. Its description in RNAcentral is "Actinobacteria bacterium partial 16S ribosomal RNA". It matches the Rfam family "Bacterial small subunit ribosomal RNA", at positions 355 to 776 of the family's 1533-position model. The record is from RNAcentral. Lineage: Bacteria; Bacillati; Actinomycetota; Actinomycetes.